AAUGCCUCCGAUGCCUCCAUUUGGUAUGCCACCCAUGGGUCCCUACUAAUUUAAUGUUACUUCAGAUAGUGGUGUAAGCAAGAGAGAAGCACACAAAUGGGUCCUCUUUUUUGUUAAGAGUUGGGGCUUUUUUGCAAUUGAUUGCUGACGGAGGCUAAGAUAAAAUGACCAUUCUGUUGUGUCAUAGGGUGCUGACAUCUCCUUUGUAAUAUUCAUUUAGAAGAGGCAAUUUUUUGCAGCUAGGCAGCACAUUGAGAAUGUUACAAUUAUCUAAAACCAUGUAGAGAUGCAUUAUUAUAUAGUAUUUUGUGCUACUUUCUAGGUUGUCAAGGAUUAAUUGUCCUAAGUUCUGUAAGUA
Molecule: unclassified non-coding RNA, 358 nt
Filed under: Hevea brasiliensis (rubber tree)
Lineage: Eukaryota; Viridiplantae; Streptophyta; Magnoliopsida; Malpighiales; Euphorbiaceae
Source: RNAcentral